RNAcentral lists this unclassified non-coding RNA (198 nucleotides) under uncultured fungus. RNAcentral's name for it is "sequence contains ITS1, 5.8S rRNA gene". The record is from RNAcentral. Lineage: Eukaryota; Fungi.
UCCAUCUCAACCAGGUGCGGUCGCGGCCCCCGGGGGCUAUGAACCCGGGUGGUAGGGGUAACACCUUCACGCGCCGCGCUCCUGAAUCCUUUUUUUACGAGCACCUUUCGUUCUCCUUCGGCGGGGCAACCUGCCGUUGGAACUUAACAAAACCUUUUUUGCAUCUAGCAUUACCUGUUCUGAUACAAAUAAUCGUUA